UAUGCACCCUACUGUAAGUCGCUCUGGAUAAGAGCGUCUGCUAAAUGACUCAAA
Molecule: non-coding RNA, 54 nt
Organism: Salmo salar (Atlantic salmon)
Lineage: Eukaryota; Metazoa; Chordata; Actinopteri; Salmoniformes; Salmonidae
Source: Rfam